GAGGGUAUAGCUCAGUGGUAGAGUGCGCGCUUGGCGUGCACGAGGUCCUGGGUUCCAUCCCCAGUGCCUCCA
Molecule: transfer RNA, 72 nt
Filed under: Camelus bactrianus (Bactrian camel)
Lineage: Eukaryota; Metazoa; Chordata; Mammalia; Artiodactyla; Camelidae
Also listed under: 1 other name
Rfam family: tRNA
About the family: Transfer RNA (tRNA) molecules are approximately 80 nucleotides in length. Their secondary structure includes four short double-helical elements and three loops (D, anti-codon, and T loops).
Source: Rfam by way of RNAcentral